GCGUCCGUAGUGUAGUGGUUAUCACGUCUCUUUCCCAAUGGGCUCAGGCUUUAGUAGCUAUCUCAGGCGAAAAGAGGAGGGCACGGGUUCGAACCCCGUCGGUCGCA
This 107-nucleotide transfer RNA is filed under the name Moesziomyces antarcticus T-34. It matches the Rfam family "tRNA". Rfam says of the family: Transfer RNA (tRNA) molecules are approximately 80 nucleotides in length. Their secondary structure includes four short double-helical elements and three loops (D, anti-codon, and T loops). Lineage: Eukaryota; Fungi; Basidiomycota; Ustilaginomycetes; Ustilaginales; Ustilaginaceae. The record is from Rfam by way of RNAcentral.